UGCCAGCCGCCGCGGUAAUACGGAGGGUGCAAGCGUUAAUCGGAAUUACUGGGCGUAAAGCGCGCGUAGGCGGUUUAGUAAGUCGGAUGUGAAAGCCCCGGGCUCAACCUGGGAAUUGCAUUCGAUACUGCUGGACUAGAGUAUGGAAGAGGGAAGUGGAAUUCCGGGUGUAGCGGUGAAAUGCGUAGAUAUCCGGAGGAACACCAGUGGCGAAGGCGGCUUCCUGGUCCAAUACUGACGCUGAGGCGCGAAAGCGUGGGUAGCAAACAGGAUUAGAUA
Molecule: ribosomal RNA, 279 nt
Filed under: uncultured bacterium
Lineage: Bacteria
Description: partial 16S ribosomal RNA
Rfam family: Bacterial small subunit ribosomal RNA
Source: RNAcentral